RNAcentral lists this ribosomal RNA (439 nucleotides) under uncultured bacterium. Its description in RNAcentral is "partial 16S ribosomal RNA". It matches the Rfam family "Bacterial small subunit ribosomal RNA", at positions 339 to 795 of the family's 1533-position model. The record is from RNAcentral.
CUACGGGGUGCACCAGUGGGGGAUAUUGCACAAUGGGGGGAACCCUGAUGCAGCAACGCCGCGUGGAGGAUGACGCAUUUCGGUGUGUAAACUCCUUUUAUAUGUCAAGAAAAUGACGGUAGCAUAUGAAUAAGCACCGGCUAACUCCGUGCCAGCAGCCGCGGUAAUACGGAGGGUGCAAGCGUUACUCGGAAUCACUGGGCGUAAAGGACGCGUAGGCGGGUUGGAAAGUCAGGUGUGAAAUCCUACAGCUUAACUGUAGAACUGCACUUGAAACUUCUAAUCUAGAGUAUGGGAGGGGGAGAUGGAAUUAGUGGUGUAGGGGUAAAAUCCGUAGAUAUCACUAGGAAUACCUAAAGCGAAGGCGAUCUCCUGGAACAUUACUGACGCUAAGGCGUGAAAGCGUGGGGAGCAAACAGGAUUAGAUACCCCGGUAGUC